RNAcentral lists this ribosomal RNA (616 nucleotides) under uncultured Cortinarius. RNAcentral describes it as "eukaryotic LSU rRNA". The stretch from base 223 to 376 matches the Rfam family "5.8S ribosomal RNA". The record is from RNAcentral. Lineage: Eukaryota; Fungi; Basidiomycota; Agaricomycetes; Agaricales; Cortinariaceae.
GAGGAAGUAAAAGUCGUAACAAGGUUUCCGUAGGUGAACCUGCGGAAGGAUCAUUAUUGAAAUAAACCUGAUGGGUUGUUGCUGGCUCUCUAGGGAGCAUGUGCACGCCUUGUCAUCUUUAUAUCUCCACCUGUGCACCUUUUGUAGGCCUUCCAGGUCUAUGUUGCUUUUUCAUUUACCCCAAUGUAUGUUAAUAGAAUGUUGUGACUAUAAAAUCUAUACAACUUUCAGCAACGGAUCUCUUGGCUCUCGCAUCGAUGAAGAACGCAGCGAAAUGCGAUAAGUAAUGUGAAUUGCAGAAUUCAGUGAAUCAUCGAAUCUUUGAACGCACCUUGCGCUCCUUGGUAUUCCGAGGAGCAUGCCUGUUUGAGUGUCAUUAAUAUAUAUCAACCUUCUCAUUUCUGAGUGGUUUGGAUGUGGGGGUUUGCUGGCCUCUUAAAAUGAGUUCAGCUCCCCUGAAAUGCAUUAGCAGAACAACCCUGUUCAUUGGCGUGAUAACUAUCUACGCUAUUGAAUGUGAGGGAUGGUUCAGCUUUCUAACAGUCCUUGGACAAUAUUAUCAUUUAUGUGACCUCAAAUCAGGUAGGACUACCCGCUGAACUUAAGCAUAUCAAUA